GACGAACGCUGGCGGCGUGCUUAACACAUGCCAGUCGAACGGAAAGGCCCUGCUUUUGUGGGGUGCUCGAGUGGCGAACGGGUGAGUAACACGUGAGUAACCUGCCCUUGACUUUGGGAUAACUUCAGGAAACUGGGGCUAAUACCGGAUAGGAGCUCCUGCUGCAUGGUGGUGGUUGGAAAGUUUCGUCGGUUGGGGAUGGACUCGCGGCUUAUCAGCUUGUUGGUGGGGGAGUGGCUUACCAAGGCUUUGACGGGUAGCCGGCCUGAGAGGGUGACCGGCCACAUUGGGUCUGAGAUACGGCCCAGACUCCUACGGGAGGCAGCAGUGGGGAAUAUUGCACAAUGGGCGGAAGCCUGAUGCAGCAACGCCGCGUGCGGGAUGACGGCCUUCGGGUGGUAAACCGCUUUCGCCUGUGACGAAGCGUGAGUGACGGUAAUGGGUAAAGAAGCACCGGCUAACUACGU
This 467-nucleotide ribosomal RNA is filed under the name uncultured bacterium. RNAcentral's name for it is "partial 16S ribosomal RNA". It matches the Rfam family "Bacterial small subunit ribosomal RNA", at positions 28 to 506 of the family's 1533-position model. The record is from RNAcentral.